GGAGAGGUAAGUUAAUAUAAACUCUGUGGUUCAUGUUCAUAAAAUAAUACUUUGUAUUCCUCUCCU
RNAcentral lists this transfer RNA (66 nucleotides) under Orientocreadium sp. HS. Its description in RNAcentral is "tRNA-Met". The record is from RNAcentral. Lineage: Eukaryota; Metazoa; Platyhelminthes; Trematoda; Plagiorchiida; Orientocreadiidae.